Molecule: ribosomal RNA, 427 nt
Filed under: uncultured bacterium
Lineage: Bacteria
Description: bacterial SSU rRNA
Rfam family: Bacterial small subunit ribosomal RNA
Source: RNAcentral
UGGGGAAUUUUGGACAAUGGGCGCAAGCCUGAUCCAGCCAUGCCGCGUGCAGGAUGAAGGCCUUCGGGUUGUAAACUGCUUUUGUACGGAACGAAAAGACUCUGGUUAAUACCUGGGGUCCAUGACGGUACCGUAAGAAUAAGCCCCGGCUAACUCCGUGCCAGCAGCCGCGGUAAGACGGAGGGGGCUAGCGUUGUUCGGAAUUACUGGGCGUAAAGCGUGCGCAGGCGGUUAUAUAAGACAGAUGUGAAAUCCCCGGGCUCAACCUGGGAACUGCAUUUGUGACUGUAUAGCUAGAGUACGGCAGAGGGGGAUGGAAUUCCGCGUGUAGCAGUGAAAUGCGUAGAUAUGCGGAGGAACACCGAUGGCGAAGGCAAUCCCCUGGGCCUGUACUGACGCUCAUGCACGAAAGCGUGGGGAGCAAACA